Long non-coding RNA from Musa acuminata AAA Group (dessert banana), 578 nucleotides. RefSeq lists it as uncharacterized. Lineage: Eukaryota; Viridiplantae; Streptophyta; Magnoliopsida; Zingiberales; Musaceae. The transcript has 2 exons. The record is from RefSeq and is a predicted model, not a curated record.
AACACAGGCCUGCCUCUCAAAUUUCCCUAGUGUUGUUCUUCUAUUAGAAGCAAAAGAAACCCAGGAUGAAGUCGGUAUCUCUUCUGCUGUUUCUUGUGCUCAUAAUGGCGACAUGCAGCUCUGCUAGACACAAACUAGGCCAUCUGGAUCAAAGAGAGAGAGGAGAUAUGGAAAAGGUUAAGACAACACUUGGGUAUUCUGGCAGCAGUGUUGAUAACCAUCACAGCAUACCAAGAGAUCAAUAUAACAGCCGGGGUGGUGCCACCAGUCAGCAGCCCCCAUAUGGAGAUGAUAGAAGCAACCAAGGAAAUGGAGGUGGUGGCAUAAAUUAGACUGAAGAUGUUAAGUACUUGAUAGUGUGUAGCUGUGUACUACAUAAUAGAGUGCUUGCCAAUAUACUGUAGUAUAUGAAGUAUCACAACCCUUGCAGGUAAAAAAAAAUGUAACUGUUAAGUUACAUGUCAUGCAGAUAUAGAAAAUUUGGCUUUAUUAGAAUAAAGGUCCAAGGGUACAAAAACUGAGUUGUUGUAGCCAUAGAUGGAUGGAAAUGAGAUCAAUUAAGAUAAAGAUUUCAAGUU